CUUUUCCAUUAUAGUUUAUUACAAGAUAUUGAACAGAGUUCCCUGUGCUACACACCAGUCUUUGUCUCUUGAUUGGAGCAUUAAUCCAUUUACAUUUAAGACUCUCUACCCCAAGACAAACCUGUGUCACUGCCUCCAUCACUCUACCUGAUCUUCAGCCCAGUAUCCUGAAGGUGAGGCUGGUUGCCAGGGCAACCAGGAGGGCAUUGGUGCUAGCCCAGCUAUGACCCACCCUUCACUCUUAGAUUUGCUGUGCUCUUGUGAAAAAUGUAAACCAUCUGCCAUUCUACCCCU
Molecule: long non-coding RNA, 294 nt
Organism: Camelus dromedarius (Arabian camel)
Lineage: Eukaryota; Metazoa; Chordata; Mammalia; Artiodactyla; Camelidae
Exons: 3
Source: RefSeq, a predicted model, not a curated record